Molecule: ribosomal RNA, 536 nt
Filed under: Papiliotrema laurentii
Lineage: Eukaryota; Fungi; Basidiomycota; Tremellomycetes; Tremellales; Rhynchogastremaceae
Description: eukaryotic LSU rRNA
Rfam family: 5.8S ribosomal RNA (bases 146-299)
Source: RNAcentral
UUCCGUAGGUGAACCUGCGGAAGGAUCAUUAAUGAUUGGCCUAACGGCCUUAUCAACAUAAUCCCUCACCUCUGUGAACCGUUGACCUCCGGGUCUACAUAACAAACAUCAGUGUAAAGAACGUCUUUAUAUUUUAACAAAAUAAAACUUUCAACAACGGAUCUCUUGGCUCUCGCAUCGAUGAAGAACGCAGCGAAAUGCGAUAAGUAAUGUGAAUUGCAGAAUUCAGUGAAUCAUCGAAUCUUUGAACGCACCUUGCGCCUUUUGGUAUUCCGAAAGGCAUGCCUGUUUGAGUGUCAUGAAAUCUCAAUCCCCCCGGGUUUUCUGAACCCGAGGUGGACUUGGACAUGGGUGUCUGCCGUCUCGUACGGCUCGCCUUAAAUGACUCAGUGGGAUCUUCAGCAUCCGUGGCAGACGUAAUAAGUUUCGUCUCGUCCCUUGCUGUGAGGACCGCUCAUAACCUGCCAUCGCGCACCACUUUUGACUCUGACCUCAAAUCAGGUAGGACUACCCGCUGAACUUAAGCAUAUCAAUAA